CAGACGGGUGAGUAACGCGUGGGAAUCUACCCAACCCUACGGAAUAGCUCCGGGAAACUGGAAUUAAUACCGUAUACGCCCUUCGGGGGAAAGAUUUAUCGGGGAUGGAUGAGCCCGCGUUGGAUUAUCUAGUUGGUGGGGAAAAGGCCUACCAAGGCGACGAUCCAUAGCUGGUCUGACAGGAUGAUCACCCACAUUGGGACUGAGACACGGCCCAAACUCCUACGGGAGGCAGCAGUGGGGAAUAUUGGACAAUGGGCGCAAGCCUGAUCCAGCCAUGCCGCGUGAGUGAUGAAGGCCUUAGGGUUGUAAAGCUCUUUCAACGGUGAAGAUAAUGACGGUAGCCGUAUAAGAAGCCCCGGCUAACUUCGUGCCAGCAGCCGCGGUAAUACGAAGGGGGCUAGCGUUGUUCGGAAUUACUGGGCGUAAAGCGCACGUAGGCGGAUAUUUAAGUCAGGGGUGAAAUCCCAGAGCUCAACUCUGGAACUGCCUUUGAUACUGGGUAUCUUGAGUAUGGAAGAGGUAAGUGGAAUUCCGAGUGUAGAGGUGAAAUUCGUAGAUAUUCGGAGGAACACCAGUGGCGAAGGCGGCUUACUGGUCCAUUACUGACGCUGAGGUGCGAAAGCGUGGGGAGCAAACAGGAUUAGAUAC
RNAcentral lists this ribosomal RNA (651 nucleotides) under Fluviirhizobium alvei. RNAcentral describes it as "bacterial SSU rRNA". It matches the Rfam family "Bacterial small subunit ribosomal RNA", at positions 99 to 785 of the family's 1533-position model. Lineage: Bacteria; Pseudomonadati; Pseudomonadota; Alphaproteobacteria; Hyphomicrobiales; Rhizobiaceae. The record is from RNAcentral.